ACGGGUGAGUAAUACAUCGGAACGUGCCCUGUAGUGGGGGAUAACCAGUCGAAAGAUUAGCUAAUACCGCAUACGACCUGAGGGUGAAAGUGGGGGACCGCAAGGCCUCAUGCUAUAGGAGCGGCCGAUGUCUGAUUAGCUAGUUGGUGAGGUAAAGGCUCACCAAGGCGACGAUCAGUAGCUGGUCUGAGAGGACGAUCAGCCACACUGGGACUGAGACACGGCCCAGACUCCUACGGGAGGCAGCAGUGGGGAAUUUUGGACAAUGGGCGAAAGCCUGAUCCAGCAAUGCCGCGUGUGUGAAGAAGGCCUUCGGGUUGUAGAGCACUUUUGUCCGGAAAGAAAUGGCUCUGGUUAAUACCUGGGGUCGAUGACGGUACCGGAAGAAUAAGGACCGGCUAACUACGUGCCAGCAGCCGCGGUAAUACGUAGGGUCCAAGCGUUAAUCGGAAUUACUGGGCGUAAAGCGUGCGCAGGCGGUUGUGCAAGACCGAUGUGAAAUCCCCGAGCUUAACUUGGGAAUUGCAUUGGUGACUGCACGGCUAGAGUGUGUCAGAGGGGGGUAGAAUUCCACGUGUA
RNAcentral lists this ribosomal RNA (579 nucleotides) under uncultured Ralstonia sp. Its description in RNAcentral is "bacterial SSU rRNA". It matches the Rfam family "Bacterial small subunit ribosomal RNA", at positions 102 to 677 of the family's 1533-position model. Lineage: Bacteria; Pseudomonadati; Pseudomonadota; Betaproteobacteria; Burkholderiales; Burkholderiaceae. The record is from RNAcentral.